UUUUUUUUUUUUUUUUUUUUUAAUUCAGAACAGUUUGUUCAUUCUUUCUUUCCUUCCUUUAUUCCUUCUUCCUUCAUUUUUCUUUCUUUCUUAGUUUUUAAUUCUAGUAUAGUUAACAGUGUUAUAUUAGUUUCAAGUUCACAAUAUGUUUUUUCAAAAAUUCCACACAUCACCCUGUGCUCAUCAUAUAAGUGCUCCUUAACCCCUAUCACCUAUUUAAGCCAUCCUCCCACCAACCUCCCCUCUGGUAACUUAUAAUUUUGACAACAUGAAUGAACCUAGAGCAUAUUUUGCUAAGUGAAAUAAGUUAGAGAAAGACAAAUAUUGUAUUAUUUCACUUAUAUGUAGAAUCUAAAAAAUAAAGCAAAGUAAAAUAGAAACUGACUCAUAGAUACAGGAAAUAAGGAAAUAAACUAUGGGUUACCAGAGGAGGGAAGAAGUUGGGGGUUAGGUAAAGAACAUGAGGAGCAUUAAGAGGUACAAACUUUGAGUGAUAAAAUAAAUGAAUCACGGGCAUAUAAUAUACAGCACAAGAAACAGAGUCAAUAAUAUAUGAAUAACUUCAUAUGGUGACAGAUUAUAACUAGACUUAUCAUGGGGUCUUUUCACAACAUAAAAAUAUCAAACCACUAUAAUAUAUACUUGAAACUAAGAGGAUAUUGUAUGUCAAUUAUACUUCAAAAAGAGAAAGAACAAACUUUUUUCCCCAUUAUGUGGCCGUAUACACAAUGAGUUUUGUUAGUCAAUACAUUUUUAAAUUUAGGCUCAAAUCAAAAUCAUUUUUAUUGUAUUUAUUAGUAUGUAACCUUUUGGUAAUAAAAAUAAGGCUACCCAUCCUGAUUUAUUUUUUGAGAAAUGCAUAUUUACACAGAUAUCUUCUCAAAACCUGAGAAGUCAAACAUUUCCUAAAGCACAAUUUGGUAUUAGAUCAUGAUGGUGCCAUACAUUCCUUACAAUUUACCUUAGGGUCAUUUUAUCAUAACAUCCCACUUCCCUAUGUUUAUGUAGGUUUAAGGAAAGAAUAAUAAUUAAUUAUGUAAAAAUAGUUAAAAGUUUUUGAAAUAUCUUGUUCUGGUACUAUUUAAAAUAUCUUUUAAGUUCUAAUGCCUUCUGGAAAACUCAGGCAUAUUUCUAAGAAGUUAAAA
This 1145-nucleotide long non-coding RNA is filed under the name Canis lupus familiaris (dog). RNAcentral describes it as "lncRNA (ENSCAFG00845029336.1)". The record is from RNAcentral. Lineage: Eukaryota; Metazoa; Chordata; Mammalia; Carnivora; Canidae.